UUUGUUUUUGUCACGACCUCAAAUACCCGGUCGUGAUGGCGCCUAUCACAUUACUAGGCAAGCCAAUCCAAACCAUCUACCACAAUAAAUUUCUUUUAUAAAACCAUUUUCUAACACUGAUUUAAAUCUCAAAUUCUCAAAAGAAAUGUAUAAAACAGCUAAAAUGUGCGGAAAUCAAUAAAAUAUUAAACCAACACAGCCUAAACAUUUGGUGUCACGAGGCUAGAGCCUCUAAAUAUAAAAGUUCGACCGUUUAAUACAUAACAAAUCUAAAAUGCGGGGAAAACAAGGAUAGGAAGGAAGAAAGCAGGGUUGCGGACGCCAUGCAGCAACCUUGCAGUCUCCGGAAAACUCUGAUAAUGCUGAGUACCCUCACUCUGCCGCUCGGUCACCUGGAUCUGCACACAAGGUGCAGAGAGUAACAUAAGUACGCCAACUCAGUAUGUAACUAAAGUAAAUAAGGUCUAAAAGCAGUGACGAGCAGUUAAAUAUCAUAUAGAAGAGUAAAUGAUAGAAUAUCAAGUCAAACUCAACAGUUUUAAACCAGUUUCUUCAUAAAACUUCCGUUUCGAUUGAAAUAUUUUGAAUCAUUUACUUAGCAGUUUUCAAUAGAGGCUCAUUUUAAAAGAAGAGUGAAAUCGGCAAAAACUAUCAUAAAUGGGCCCCUCGGGCAAGGUAUCACUCAUAAAUAUAGCCUCUCGUGCACUCGUGACUCAGCUCUCAUCUCAGGCUCAAAUACACAUUAUAAUAGUGAUAAUCAUAAUAACCGCUGUGACGUGCAGCCCGAUCAAUAGUUUAUAGUCGACUACGCUCACUGGGGGUGUACAAACUCCGGAGGGGCUCCUACAACCCAAGCGUCAUAUCGCUGCGGCGCGCAGCCCGAUCUAUAUAAGUAUUGCUGUGGUGUGCAGCCCGAUCCAUAAUAUAUACAUAUAAUAUUAUUGCGGGGUGCUUCCCAAUCCAUAAUAUUUAUAAUCAUCACCAUUAGGUCCUCAGCCUCUCUCAGGUAUUAACCUCACAGCCACUCGGGCAUAACAGUAGAAAUCAGGGAACUCAAUCUGAACAGUUCUCACAUUUUAAAAAGUAGAGUGAUAAAAUCAGUUUUAAAUAAUAAAUAGGUGAAACAUGACUGAGGAUAUGCUUUCAAACAAAUAGAGUGCGGAAAAAUAGUAAAUAUGCCCCUAAGGGUCUCAACAGGUCGUCACAAGGCCCCAAACAUGGCAUACAACCCAUAAUACAGUAUAAAUUUCUAAAAUACGGGAUAUCAUAAGAUUUCAAAUCAAGUACGUGACUUAAUAUGGCUACGGGGCGGACUAAGUCACAAUCCCUACCGGUGCACGCUCACACGCUCGUCACCUAGCAUGUGCGUCACCUCAUUUAUCAAAACGAUACGAAAUACCGGGGUUUUGUACCCUCAAUUCCAUAUUUACAAUGGUUACUUACCUCAAACCGGGUGAAUUACUACUCUGCAAUGCCUUUGCCUCUCGCCUCGGCCUCAACUCGCAUUGAAUCUACCCAAAAUCAGAAUCAUAACAUUAGAAUAUGCCAAAGGGACGAAGCCCAUGCGAAAUUAAUCAAAUUAUACCAAAAAUCUCGAAAUUGGUCUAACCCGACCACCGGGCCCAUGUCUCAAAAUUCGAUAAGUCACAUCAAUGGAAUCCUUAUCCUCCCACGAGGUCAUACAUACCAAGAGUACCAAAAUCCGACCACAAAUGGCCCCUCAAAUCCCUAGAUUAAAGUCUCAAAUUUCCAAGCCCUAACUUCCUAAUUUAGGCUUCAAAUUCCCCAAAUUUCAUGUUUAAUUAGGUUAGAAAUCACAAUAGGAUCGAGUAUUAACUCCAAAAUUCUUACCUCCAAUAAGUUCUCUUUGAUUUCCUUUCAAUCCCUCUCAAAAAUCUCCAAAACCGAGUCAAAAUUGGUGGACAUAGGCCAAAACUCACGAAAAUGGUCUUUUAAACAUUCUGCCCAGCGAUCAGAAAUCCUUCUUCCCGAACGCGGUCAAAGCCUCGCGUUCACGAAGCACAAAAAUACCAUUUACCAAAAUUCUCUUACGCGAAUGCGACCACACCAUCGUGAACGAGAUGCCUCAGCAUCCCAAACCAUCGCGAAUGCGUCAGACAACUCGCGAACGCCAUGCUUCCUGUUCUGACCCUUCGUGAACGCGGGACCUCCCUCGCGAACGCAAAGGCCAAAUUUUCGGCCUCUCAUCCUAGCCCUUGGUGAACGCGAGGGCCCACUCGCGAACGCGAAGCACAAAUUUUCUACAACAGCUGAAGCCAAAACUACAACUUCCUUUAACUUGAAAUGGUCCGUUCAACCAUCCUAAACUCACCUGAGGCCCUCAGUGUCGCGCAGCCUUUUUCUCGCGAAAUUGGGUUUAUGACAUUUGGUUGGGACAACUCGUUCCUUUUGGGAACAGGGUUUUGCAUUUGAAGAGUCGCCACCUAAUGAUUUAAGGUGCAUUAGGACACCAAUAGGGUUCAAUUCUAAGUUUGAUUGAAUAACCAGAGAUAGGGUAAGGACUUGAAAUUAUCCUUAUAGGAAAGUGUUAUGCACCCCUCAGGAUCCACUGGUGUGAUUUCCGGCCAGACAGUUUAUUGUAAAUUUGUGUAAUUAACAAGUAAAUAGAUAAGGCUCACAUAAGAGAAGAGAUAAUUAAAAGAAGAGUUUUGAAAAGAAGUUUGCAAAUAAAAGGGAAGGGGUCCUAGGUUUAUAUUUAAUAUGGAUCACAUCAAUACGAUACCCGGUAUGACACUCCUCAAAAUAAGGGAUACACGUGGUAUUAGCGCACCGGUCAUCAUAUCCAUAUCUACCCUUCCCACCCCGUUAAGGUAUUUAAAGCGCGGAUUGGUCUCGAUCACUAUUGCAUGCUAUUACCUGUCCCAUUCCUAUCAGUCCCGGAGGAGCUUAGGACUACUAUUUCCUAAAGGGGAGGGAUAUUAGGCUGAUUUUGGUUUCAAAAGGUAAAAAUCUAAAGCGACAUGCAAAACACAUAAACUGCAUGUUGGGGGAAGCAUAUAAACAGAUAAAGUUCCAUGUACACCUCCUCAAAUGAAAACACAUAAAUAGUAUGAUUUGCACAUACUUUUAGGUCUGAUUAAAAUACUAAAGACGAGGGGAGUUUGAUCAUUGAGGCAGAUUAGUUUAUUACAUAAUUCAGAUAAGAAGUCCCAGUUAGGUCUGCCUGCUGGUUGUAGCAAUUAACAAAAACGGAUUCAAUUUUAUGGUUAUUACUCUAAGGUUUGCCUAAGUGUUAGAUGAGGUCCUAUAGACAUGAUAUCUAAUUGAUUCAGAAUGUGGUGAAACAGUAAUAACUCAAAACAAAUUGUUUGAAAUCCUAUAGGCAUGCUUGCUAAACCUCGUUAAACAAGGGAAUUAGGUUGUUUAAAACCAGUUCAGAAUAGGCUGAUUUAAACUAAAUCCAGAUUAUGUAGGCAAUGGUAUCUAAUGUUGCUGAUUUUAAUCCCUAUAGGCAUGAUAUCUAAUAUUGAAUGAUUUCAACAUCAUGAACAUGAUACUUACUUAUAGCCGUUUAGAACCUAAAGCAUGAUAUCUAAGUGGCAUGCAGAAUUUUAAAUAAGUCCUAUAGGCGGGUUAUCUAGAUGUGAAAUUGAUCAUGAAGAAAUUAAGAUAAACCCUAUAGACAUGGUGUCUAAAAUGCAGAAUUGAACACGCAGAAUAAAAAAUAGUCCUAUAGGCAUGCUUUCUCUCCUUGAGCAUACAUGAUUUCCCAACCCUUUUCACUAGCCAGCCCCAAGUAAUUAUUACAAAUUAUUACAGACCAGAAAUAAUUAAAUACAUCAGAAAAGUUCAAAGAAAAGUUACAACCAGAGGAAACCUGACUCUUGACUUCCUCUCUGAGUUAUGGAAUAAACCACCUCAAAUGCCAUUGAUUCAAAGUCUUUCUCAUACUUGAGUGUGUCAAAGUUCCCUAAGGGUCUCAAUAGGACCAUGGGCAAUACUUGUCACACCUCCUUUUUACCACACGAGGACGGAUAUAAGGGAGUUUUUCUAAUUUAAGUGACAUUAUUCGAUAUGCGAUUAUUUUAUUUAAUUUUUUCAGAGUUGCCACUUGGGAUAUUUAUUAUGGUGUCCCAAGUCACCGGUUUAUUUUAAAUCCCAAAUCGAGAAAAUUUUGACUUUAUUUAAAAGUCCGCGAAACCAGAAAUUCUAAACAAGGAAUUCUGUUAACCCUGGAGAAGGUGUUAGGCAUUCCCGGGGUUCGUGGUUCGAAUACGACCGCAUAAACUAUUAAUAAUUGGGGUAUUAUCUGAUUUCCUACAUGUUUUAAACCUAUUAUGCAUUUUUAGCUUUAUAACCACUUUUUAAUUAUUUUAACUGCUUUUAGGAUUUAUGGAAUUAUUUUUUGAACAAGUUAAGAUUGUCGUACACUUGCCGUUCUACAACACACCGCAAACCACGCUACAUGAAAUGCACCCGUGAUUUGUGACAUGUUUAUUUUAAUUAUUGUUCGAAGUUGUGGUCGGGUCACUUGAAAUGCACACCUGAAUUGAAAUUUAUGUAUCGUGACCAAGCCACGGGAACCGUACCCAUAGUCAUGAUGAUUUAUUAAUCGUGCCUAAAGCUAACUACGAUAUUUGAUUUAUUUUCUAAUCUAAUUUAAGAUUAUUUUAAGGCCAUAGGUUAUGGAAUUUAUUAUGGAAAGAAUAAAUUAAAUUAUUUAUGGAAAGAUAUCCUAGCUUAUAGCCUUAUCGGCAAUUUUGGUCAUGUAUUCAAACUAGAAACUUUAGUAGUACCUCAUUCACCAAUUAAACUCCAAACCCAUAUUUUGGGCAUUAACGAUUACUCCAAAAAAAGGUACUAACAAAGAAAGUGAAAGAAUGAGAAUUAAGCAAAUAACGCCCACAUCUUAACACAAAGGAAUUAUCAGUAGAUUCCAAAGCAUACCAACACCAUGCUUAUUGAUUUAUCUUUAUAAAUAAAAAAAACUAAAAGAAACACCCAACUAGAUUAAAGUAUUCAUCAAAGAAAGACAAAGUAAAGUAAUAAAUUAGUCAUGGAUCAACCUUAAGUAAAGAGGCUAAAAUAAAAUAAUAAUAAUAAAGCAUAAGAUAGAUUGGAUCCCGAAGAGUAGCGACAAGAAACAUACCUUUUUAAAAAGAAACAAAAGUCUGGAAAUAAGACCAGCAACACGUUAACCAUACUAAACGGGAACCUCACCGGAACUUUAGAUGGAUCUCUCACAUGGAAGUUCGUCUAUCUCGAUCUAUCUUCCAUGACAUUACAGGGCUGAAACGGAGCUUCGUCGGAGGAAAAAAAAUGGAGAAAUUGAUGACUGUUCGGGUCUUUUUUUUAAAGCUGGUUUUAAUGGAAUUUCAAAUUGGUUUAAGGUGAUAUAUGUGAAGUGAUAUGGGUUGAAGACUCUUUCGUUUCUUUUUAUUUUCCCACCCCCAAUUUUUGUGCAAAGAAUCCCUUGUAUGUUCUGUGCGUGUAUUUGGAGUUGGUGAAAUUAGACCGUGAAGGUCUUUGAUUUGGGGGAAGUUGGGAGACGGCAGUCUUCGAGAUUAGGAGUGUUGCCGUUCUUUUUUUAGUCUUAGGUUUUGAAAACUUGGGUAUUUUAUAUGUAGAUGGGAAGGGAUGAUGACCAUUGGAUUAGAAGGAAAUAGAUGGCUAGGAUUAAAUCUUGCAUAUAAAUGGGCUAAUGAGUUGGGAAGAAUGGGCUAAGGGUAAUUGGGUUAGACCCUAUCUUUUGGUUGAACUUAGGCUAAAAAGACCAAAUAAUACAAUGUAUCUAUAAAAAUGUAAAAAUCACUCUAAAUUAAAAUAAACUAAUAUGAAAC
Molecule: long non-coding RNA, 5801 nt
Filed under: Nicotiana tabacum (common tobacco)
Lineage: Eukaryota; Viridiplantae; Streptophyta; Magnoliopsida; Solanales; Solanaceae
Description: long non-coding RNA (NTAB_LNC017054)
Source: RNAcentral